RNAcentral lists this ribosomal RNA (497 nucleotides) under uncultured bacterium. RNAcentral's name for it is "partial 16S ribosomal RNA". It matches the Rfam family "Bacterial small subunit ribosomal RNA", at positions 28 to 507 of the family's 1533-position model. The record is from RNAcentral.
GACGAACGCUGGCGGCGUGCUUAACACAUGCAAGUCGAGCGGACAGAUGACGAGCUUGCUGCUCUGACGUUAGCGGCGGACGGGUGAGUAAUACGUGGAUAACCUACCUCUAAGACUUGGAUAACUGCGGGAAGCCGGAGUUAAUACCAGGUAAUAUUUUGAACCGCAUGGUUCAAGAGUGUAAGACGGUUUUGCUGUCGCUUAGAGAUUGAUCCGCGCGGUAUUGGCUUGUUGGUGGGGUAACGGCUUACCAAGGCGGCGAUGGGUAGCCGACCGGAGAGGGUGUUGGGCCACACUGGAAGUGAGCCGCGACCCAGACACCUACGGGCGGCAGCAGCAGGGACGCGUCGGAAAAGGGGGGAAGACUGAAGGAGGAGCGCAGCGUGGGUGAAGAAGGUCUUCGGACGGUAAGACGCUGUUAUGGUUGAAGAACAAAUGUGUACGUGACUAUGCACGUCUUGACGGUAGCUGGUCAAGAAGCCACGGCUAACUACGUG